This 204-nucleotide ribosomal RNA is filed under the name uncultured Thiobacillus sp. Its description in RNAcentral is "partial 16S ribosomal RNA". It matches the Rfam family "Bacterial small subunit ribosomal RNA", at positions 1179 to 1382 of the family's 1533-position model. Lineage: Bacteria; Pseudomonadati; Pseudomonadota; Betaproteobacteria; Nitrosomonadales; Thiobacillaceae. The record is from RNAcentral.
AUGACGUCAAGUCCUCAUGGCCCUUAUGGGUAGGGCUUCACACGUCAUACAAUGGUCGGUACAGAGGGUUGCCAAGCCGCGAGGUGGAGCCAAUCCCAGAAAGCCGAUCGUAGUCCGGAUUGUUCUCUGCAACUCGAGAGCAUGAAGUCGGAAUCGCUAGUAAUCGCGGAUCAGCAUGUCGCGGUGAAUACGUUCCCGGGUCUU